Molecule: ribosomal RNA, 468 nt
Filed under: uncultured bacterium
Lineage: Bacteria
Description: partial 16S ribosomal RNA
Rfam family: Bacterial small subunit ribosomal RNA
Source: RNAcentral
GACGAACGCUGGCGGCGUGCUUAACACAUGCAAGUCGAACGGAAAGGCCCUGCUUUUGUGGGGUGCUCGAGUGGCGAACGGGUGAGUAACACGUGAGUAACCUGCCCUUGACUUUGGGAUAACUUCAGGAAACUGGGGCUAAUACCGGAUAGGAGCUCCUGCUGCAUGGUGGGGGUUGGAAAGUUUCGGCGGUUGGGGAUGGACUCGCGGCUUAUCAGCUUGUUGGUGGGGUAGUGGCUUACCAAGGCUUUGACGGGUAGCCGGCCUGAGAGGGUGACCGGCCACAAUGGGAAUGAGGUACGGGCCAGACUCCUACGGGAGGCAGCAGUGGGGAAUAUUGCACAAUGGGCGGAAGCCUGAUGCAGCAACGCCGCGUGCGGGAUGACGGCCUUCGGGUUGUAAACCGCUUUCGCCUGUGACGAAGCGUGAGUGACGGUAAUGGGUAAAGAAGCACCGGCUAACUACGUG